GAAAGUCCAGAACCAGAAAAAUCAAGAGCAAACACAGUGAUGUUAGAAGGCAGUAAUAUUAUGGCAGCCUCACUAGCAUCUGCUCGACACCCACUGUUACCAUGGCAGUAAAUUACACAGGGUAGAGGCUUUCCCUCAGGACUAACAAUAGGCAAGUAAUGACUACACUGAAGUACAUCUCCCCGACUGUUUUUAACCUCCAGAUCCUUCCUU
RNAcentral lists this unclassified non-coding RNA (213 nucleotides) under Hevea brasiliensis (rubber tree). Lineage: Eukaryota; Viridiplantae; Streptophyta; Magnoliopsida; Malpighiales; Euphorbiaceae. The record is from RNAcentral.